GGCCAAGUGAAAUGGCGGGGCCACGAGCCAUGCGGGGAACCGCCUCCGUCAAGUAGCAGGAUGAGGGGCUCCAGAAGAGAAAAACUGAAAAUCAGGCUCCGGCUGUAGACAGACGUUACUGGAGACUUUCACAGUGGGGCGAAGAACUGACAGAAAGAUGCUGGGAAGGAAGACGCUAGAAAAACUCCAGAAAGUUCGCGUGAUGAAAACUUACCUCGCGCCACAACCAUGUGGUUUAAUCAAUUUAUAUGCAUAAGAAAUUUGGAAACAAUUGGUUGUGUAGUUCUGGUUCAAGAUCAUCAAUGAAGUUGGCUGAGGCUACAGUCAUCUGAAGGCUUGAUGAGACUGGAAGAUGCUCUUUAAAAGUGGCUCACUCACCUGGCUGGUUAAUUGGCACUAGCUCUUGAUAGGAGGCCUCAGCUCCUCUCCAUAUGGGCUGCUCGAGAAUUCUCAUGGCAUUGUUUGUUUCCCCCUAAAGGAAUCAAGAGAACAAGCCAGCCUCAGUGGUACAGGUGGUAGCAUACUGAUCUGCAGAUCAGUACCGGAAGCCAGGUGGCAGACUGCAGUUUCAGAUCCAAAGUGGACAUGAAGCUCACUAGGCAUGUUUGUGCUGCAAUUCUGACUAAUUGAAAGGCUGAGGACCACAGCAAGGCAAGAAAGACCCUGUAGUGGGUACCCCCUCUGUCUCAUGAAAUAAAUUAAAACGUAAAAUAA
This is a long non-coding RNA of Tupaia belangeri chinensis (Chinese tree shrew), 714 nucleotides long. RefSeq lists it as uncharacterized. The transcript is spliced from 3 exons. NCBI's taxonomy places the organism in Eukaryota, Metazoa, Chordata, Mammalia, Scandentia, Tupaiidae. The record is from RefSeq and is a predicted model, not a curated record.